This is an RNA transcript of Mastomys coucha (southern multimammate mouse), 3228 nucleotides long. It is a transcript of the gene named maestro heat like repeat family member 6, with no coding region annotated. The transcript has 15 exons. NCBI's taxonomy places the organism in Eukaryota, Metazoa, Chordata, Mammalia, Rodentia, Muridae. The record is from RefSeq and is a predicted model, not a curated record.
CACUGGAAGAGUGGUGGCAGGUGCCACUGGUAGGAACACUAUGGCUGGGGGUGUGUGGGGUCGGGGCCGGGAUGGCCCUGUGGGCUGCCUAACUCUGACAGCCCUGGCGGAAGGAAUCCGGGCUAAUCAGGGGCAGCCGGUGGGACCCUCUUCUACAGGCCCUCAGGCUGAGCCCCAGGAGCUUGGACCCGAGGCUGAGCCCUAUAUUCAAACACUCACCCCUGCCAUUGAGGCCCAGCCUGGGAAUGAAGUGGUUGCCCCCACAGCUGGUAGUGAGAUCUGUUCCCCACACAAUGCCCAGGAGCCAGCCCCCGAGAGACUAUACCAGGUUUCCCAGUAUUCCUGGGAGCAAGGAACCCUUGCAGACCUUGCGUUGUAUACAGCUGCAUGUCUGGAGGAGGCUGGCUAUGCUGGGACCCAGGCAACAGCGCUCACUCUGUCCUCAGCCCUAGAAGCCCGGGGGCAGCGGCUGGAGGACCAGGUCCACGGUCUGGUGCGUGGGCUGCUGGCACAGGUGCCUAGCCUGGCAGAGGGGAGACCCCGGAGGGCAGCCCUACGGGUGCUGAGUGCACUGGCUCUGGAGCAUGCGCAGGACGUGGUGUGUGCGCUGCUACCCAGUUCGCUACCCCCGGACCGGGCGGCCUCUGAGCUGUGGCGAAGCCUAAGUCGGAACCAGCGAGUAAACGGGCAGGUGCUGGUGCAACUGCUGUGGGCAUUGAAGGGCGCGGCGGGUCCUGAGUCUGAGGCACUGGCAGCCACCCGCGCUCUUGGUGAGAUGUUGGCCGUCUCUGGCUGCGUGGGAGCCACUCGAGGCUUCUACCCUCACCUGCUGCUAGCACUGGUCACACAGCUGCAUGAGCUGGCUCAAGGUGCUCAUUCCCCCGACAGCCCUAAGGUUUGGGAGCAUUCUCACCGAGGGCCACCUCACAGCCAUGCCAGCUGCACAGUGGAGGCCUUAAAGGCUCUGCUCACUGGGGAUGGUGGUCGAAUGGUGGUCACAUGUAUGGAGCAAGCAGGAGGCUGGAGGAGACUGGUAGGAGCCCAUACGCACCUGGAGGGUGUCCUGCUGCUGGCCAGUGCCAUGGUGGCGCACGCUGAUCACCAUCUGCGAGGCCUUUUUGCAGACUUGCUCCCCCGGCUACGAAGCGCCAACAACCCGCAGCGCCUCACAGCUAUGGCUUUCUUUACUGGGCUGUUGCAGAGUCAGUCCACCGCACAGCUCUUACGUGAGGAGGUCAUCCUGGAGCGCCUUCGAACUUGGCAGGGUGACCCAGAGCCCACCGUGCGCUGGCUAGGCCUACUUGGCCUUGACCACCUUGCAAUGAAUCGUGGGAAGAUAAGGCAUGUGAACACCUUGUUGCCAGUACUCCUAAGAGCACUGGGCGAAGGUGAUGUGCGGCUCGUGGGGGCUGCACUUGGAGCACUGCGGAGACUACUGCUGCAGCCCGGAGCACCUGUGCGACUCCUCAGCUCUGAGCUGCGACCACGCCUCCCACCGCUACUGGAUGAUGCUCGGGACUCGGUCCGUGCUUCAGCAGUGGGACUCCUUGGAACACUGGUGCGGCGGGGCCAGAGGGGACUCCGGUUGGGGCUUCGGGGACCCCUGCGGAAACUGGUGCUGCAGAGUCUGGUGCCGCUGUUGCUGCGCCUACAUGACUCCAGUCAGGAUGCUGCUGAGAGCUCAGAGUGGACACUAGCCCGCUGUGAUCAGGCUCUUCGAUGGGGCCUGCUGGAGGAGAUGGUUACUGUGGCUCACUAUGACAGCCCUGAGGCUCUAAGCCGCGUCUGCCACCGCCUGGUUCAGCGAUAUCCAAACCACGUUCAACAUUUCCUGAGUCAGACCCAGGGCUACUUGAGGAGCCCACAGGAUACCUUGCGCAGGGCAGCCACUGUGCUAAUAGGUUUCCUGGUGUAUCAUACUAGGCCCAAAGGAGUCAGUCAGGACCUGUUGGACUCUCUAUUCCAGGACCUAGGACAGCUGCAGGGCGACCCGGAGUCUGCGGUUUCCUCGGCAGCGCACGUGUCUGCCCAGCAGGUGGCGCUGCUUGCUCGGGCGCAGGUCCAAACACACCGCCCCAACCUCUUCCGCUUCAUACGCCACCAUUCAUACCCUACAAGGCCCCAUCCACUCUAUGACGAUAGUCCAUUCCUACGCCGGAGCCUUGUAGGCCGAUGGAGCUGCCUUGAACCUCGUUGAGCCAGUCCCAGCAUCCAAAUUUGGGGUCACUAUCCAUGUUUGUCGUUCGUCCUCACUAUAGCAGAUCUGCAGAAGAGGCCUUACUGAAGGGUCAUUGUGCGCCUGGUGCUGGCCACUGGUGCCCCUCGACCUGUAACUAUUUUCUUUGGGCCUACGAUGAGAAAACUGUUGUGUGUCUCUAACAUCCGUUCAUGCUGGAGAGCACAAGCCAGGAUUGCAUCUCUGGGUUGAACUAUUGAAGCAAGCAUUUCACACCCACCAGACUGUGAAUGACUAUGUCAUUACCCAACGCCUUGUCCAGGGCUUUACUGGGGAUGGCACGGCUGGAUAGACAGGAAGAGUCAGCCACAGGGGUGACCCCACCCCUCCAGGCACUGACACAGGCAGCUUCCUCCACACAGAAUGGCUGUCCUCAGGCUCCAGGGAGGCCUCCUCACAAACACAGGACCCAGCAAGCAACAGAACUCAGCAGCUUCGGCCAUGUGGCUCUGGCGUUAGAGUCAAGAAUAGAAGGUGUUUUUGUGACAGUUGAUCCUGGUUAGCGGGAGCUAAGAAAUUAGUGGUGAUUAAGAAGAGACCAGCAUCACUUCUGGGAAGUGUUUUCUGAGAGCAGAAAGAAGCUGUGUUCUAGAAGUGGCCGAAGUUGUACUCAGGCUGGUAGUCAGUCUUGGUACUGUGUAAGAGUCACCCAGGUGGUACUGGUUUUGGAGGCAUGAAGCUUGGCACUAUAAGAAGCCAGGGAAUGCCCCUGGUGAAAGUGCAACCUUAGUUGCAGUUGAUAGCCUGAUAGCCCAGGCCUGAAGGGGUCAUGCAAAAAAGUUGAAGCCUGGCACCAUAAAGGGAGCCUAUGAGAGGCUCUUGGUGAAGCCUAGUAGCAGUGAGAAAUUCCAGCGUGUUAGAGAUGCCAGCACCAUGGGAUGAAUACCAGGAACGGCAGCAGCAGUGGAGUGGAGUCAACCAGAGCCUAGAGUGCUACAGAGGGCAGAGCUGGAGAAGUGACCCAAGCCCUUUGGAGGAGCCCAGAAGAUCAU